ACACACACACACACACACACACACACACAUACACACACACACACACACACACACACACACACACACACACAGACACUCACACACACACACACACACACACACACACACACACACACACACACACACACACACACACACACACACACACACACACACACACACACACACACACAAACACACACACACACACACACACACACACACACACACAGACACACACACACACACACACACACACACACACACACACACACACACACACACACACACACACACACACACACACAGACACACACACACACACACACACACACACACACACACACACACACACACACACUCUCUCUCUCCACACACACACACACACUCUCUCUCACACACACACACACACACACACACACACACACACACACACACACACACACACACACACACACACACACACACACACACACACACACACACACACACACACACACAGGUUAUUUCCUUGGAAAUCAGAAUCCGAGCGCGCUGCCAGUAAUGGGUGUGUGUGAUUGGAAGCAGACGCUGCGCUCUCAUUGGUCCAUGUCGUCAGCAGGGUGACACAGCUGCAAACAGCUGGAGAGAACACGUUCAUUUAAAUCCACAAACAAACAGCUGCAGGAAGAACGUCUCCACCCAUCAGUACGUUCAACCAUCCAUCCAUUUCCAAUGCCAGGAACACACUCAAAACACUCCAUCGUUGGGACUACGGCUCCCAUAAUGCUCUGGGAGAUCAGGCCCCUUCAUAUCUUAAAGAGCUCAUAGUACCCUAUUACCCCUCUAGAACACUACGUUCUCUGAAUGCUGGGCUACUUGUGGUUCCUAUAGUCUCUAAAAGUAGAACAGGAGCCAGAGCCUUCAGUUACCAAGCUCCUCUCCUGUGGAACCAGCUUCCAGUUGUGGUUCUGUCCUAGGUUUCUGCCUUUUAACAGGCAGUGUUUCCUUGCCCUUGUCUCCAAGGUCUUGCUCAUGGUGGUACUGUUGGGUCUCUGUAAUUAAUGUUUUAAAGAGUUCGGUCUAGACCUGCUCUAUUUGAAAAGUGUCCUGAGAUAACUUCUGUUAUGAAUUGGAGCUAUACAAAUAAAAUUGAAUUGAAUUGAAUUGAAAAUUGUUGUUAAAUCGACCAGCAUCUUCUCACUUGAUUGAAGAUUGAAGCCUAAAAGAGUUACGGUGGACACAUCGGAGCUGUUAGCUGAUGGGACAAACUAAAACAUCUUAAUCAAAUUUAAGGUCCUUCUUAAAACAUUUCCUCCCUCCUGAAGUACCAGUGCAGGUCACUGAGCUGUGACCUCUGACCUUUAGGCUUGCUGUUUGUUGGCGGUCUGUUGGGUUUUCUGCUGAACUCAUCAUUUCUCCAAUGACUGUUGAGUGUUUUGAACUCAGUCAUCGUUUUUCUCAGUGACUCAUCACUCACAACACGAAGAGAACGAAACCUGAAACCAGAGCAGAUUCUGAACCAUAAAAUAUGAACCAGUUUCACCCAAAAUCACUGAUAAGUUUCUGUUUUUGUACAGUGUUAAUAAAGUUGUGUGUUUGUACAGUGAUAAUAAAGUUGUGUGUUUGUACAGUGUUAAUAAAGUUGUGUGUUUGUACAGUGUUAAUAAAGUUUUGUGUUUGUACAGUGUUAAUAAAGUUGUGUGUUUGUACAGUGAUAAUAAAGUUGUGUGUUUGUACAGUGUUAAUAAAGUUGUGUGUUUGUACAGUGUUAAUAAAGUUUUGUGUUUGUACAGUGAUAAUAAAGUUGUGUGUUUGUACAGUGUUAAUAAAGUUGUGUGUUUGUACAGUGUUAAUAAAGUUGUGUGUUUGUACAGUGAUAAUAAAGUUGUGUUUGUACAGUGUUAAUAAAGUUGUGUUUGUACAGUGAUAAUAAAGUUGUGUGUUUGUACAGUGAUAAUAAAGUUGUGUGUUUGUACAGUGUUAAUAAAGUUGUGUGUUUGUACAGUGUUAAUAAAGUUGUGUGUUUGUACAGUGUUAAUAAAGUUGUGUGUUUGUACAGUGUUAAUAAAGUUGUGUGUUUUUACAGUGUUAAUAAAGUUUUGUGUUUGUACAGUGUUAAUAAAGUUGUGUGUUUGUACAGUGUUAAUAAAGUUGUGUGUUUGUACAGUGUUAAUAAAGUUGUGUGUUUGUACAGUGUUAAUAAAGUUGUGUGUUUGUACAGUGUUAAUAAAGUUGUGUGUUUGUACAGUGAUAAUAAAGUUGUGUUUGUACAGUGUUAAUAAAGUUGUGUUUGUACAGUGAUAAUAAAGUUGUGUGUUUGUACAGUGAUAAUAAAGUUGUGUGUUUGUA
Molecule: long non-coding RNA, 2310 nt
Organism: Dicentrarchus labrax (European seabass)
Lineage: Eukaryota; Metazoa; Chordata; Actinopteri; Moronidae
Exons: 4
Source: RefSeq, a predicted model, not a curated record